CAGCAGCCGCGGGAAUACAGAGGGUGCAAGCGUUAAUCGGAAUUACUGGGCGUAAAGCGCGCGUAGGUGGUUCGCCAAGUUGGAUGUGAAAUCCCCGGGCUCAACCUGGGAACUGCAUCUAAAACUGGCGAGCUAGAGUAUGGUAGAGGGUGGUGGAAUUUCCUGUGUAGCGGUGAAAUGCGUAGAUAUAGGAAGGAACAUCAGUGGCGAAGGCGACCACCUGGACUGAUACUGACACUGAGGUGCGAAAGCGUGGGGAGCAAACAGGAUUAGAUACCCCGGUAGUCCCUGUCUCUUAUAC
This 301-nucleotide ribosomal RNA is filed under the name uncultured bacterium. RNAcentral describes it as "partial 16S ribosomal RNA". It matches the Rfam family "Bacterial small subunit ribosomal RNA", at positions 509 to 807 of the family's 1533-position model. The record is from RNAcentral.